This 497-nucleotide ribosomal RNA is filed under the name uncultured bacterium. RNAcentral's name for it is "partial 16S ribosomal RNA". It matches the Rfam family "Bacterial small subunit ribosomal RNA", at positions 28 to 507 of the family's 1533-position model. The record is from RNAcentral.
GAUGAACGCUGGCGGCGUGCCUAAUACAUGCAAGUCGAGCGAACAGACGAGGAGCUUGCUCCUCUGACGUUAGCGGCGGACGGGUGAGUAACACGUGGAUAACCUACCUAUAAGACUGGGAUAACUUCGGGAAACCGGAGCUAAUACCGGAUAAUAUAUUGAACCGCAUGGUUCAAUAGUGAAAGACGGUUUUGCUGUCACUUAUAGAUGGAUCCGCGCCGCAUUAGCUAGUUGGUAAGUUAACGGCUUACCAAGGCAACGAUGCGUAGCCGACCUGAGAGGGUGAUCGGCCACACUGGAACUGAGACACGGUCCAGACUCCUACGGGAGGAAGCAGUAGGGAAUCUUCCGCAAUGGGCGAAAGCCUGACGGAGCAACGCCGCGUGAGUGAUGAAGGUCUUCGGAUCGUAAAACUCUGUUAUUAGGGAAGACCAAAUGUGUAAGUAACUAUGCACGUCUUGACGGUACCUAAUCAGAAAGCCACGGCUAACUACGUG